This 556-nucleotide long non-coding RNA is filed under the name Homo sapiens (human). RNAcentral's name for it is "uncharacterized LOC101926944 (LOC101926944)". Lineage: Eukaryota; Metazoa; Chordata; Mammalia; Primates; Hominidae. The record is from RNAcentral.
AAAUAACUUGCCCAAGAUCGCCCAAGAUCACCCAAGAUGUCCGGCUGAAGUUCUUAACCAUUACCUUACACUAAUCAACAGCAACAAUAAUAAUAACCACCUUUCUAGGAUGCAAAUUAUGUUCCAAGAACUUUCAUUAUUUCAUUACAUCUGCAUAGCCCCAAGAGUAAAUAAUAUCCUGUUCUAUUGAAGAAGAAACUGAGGUCCCAAGACAUGAAAUUACUUGCUCAAGGUCACACACUGCCCUCAACUCUGUGAUGUCAAAAUUCCCUUCUCCAUAGGUAACAGAUCCUAUCUGGCUACUUUUCAUUAUUAAGGAGAAUGGAGAUGUCUCGGAUUUUUUGUGCACAAAUUGUCCUCAGAACCAAACAAAAUAACCAGCAUAGGAGAGAAUUCACAAAGUAAGAGACUCAUAAAGUAAAAUGUUUUGCUUUACUUUUUGCCUUUUUCAUCCUGCUUUGUUUUUCAACAUGUGUAAAUCAUUCUGUUACUAUAAACUUAAUAAAGAAGUAAAAGAGCAAAGACCAAAAAAAAAAAAAAAAAAAAAAAAAAAAAA